RNAcentral lists this ribosomal RNA (468 nucleotides) under uncultured bacterium. RNAcentral's name for it is "partial 16S ribosomal RNA". It matches the Rfam family "Bacterial small subunit ribosomal RNA", at positions 28 to 507 of the family's 1533-position model. The record is from RNAcentral.
GACGAACGCUGGCGGCGUGCUUAACACAUGCCAGUCGAACGGAAAGGCCCUGCUUUUGUGGGGUGCUCGAGUGGCGAACGGGUGAGUAACACGUGAGUAACCUGCCCUUGACUUUGGGAUAACUUCAGGAAACUGGGGCUAAUACCGGAUCGGAGCUCCUGCUGCAUGGUGGGGGUUGGAAAGUUUCGGCGGUUGGGGAUGGACUCGCGGCUUAUCAGCUUGUUGGUGGGGUAGUGGCUUACCAAGGCUUUGACGGGUAGCCGGCCUGGGAGGGUGACCGGCCACAUUGGGACUGAGAGACGGCCCAGACUCCAACGGGAGGCAGCAGUGGGGAAUAUUGCACAAUGGGCGGAAGCCUGAUGCAGCAACGCCGCGUGCGGGAUGACGGCCUGCGGGUUGUAAACCGCUUUCGCCUGUGACGAAGCGUGAGUGACGGUAAUGGGUAAAGAAGCACCGGCUAACUACGUG